RNAcentral lists this ribosomal RNA (386 nucleotides) under uncultured bacterium. RNAcentral describes it as "bacterial SSU rRNA". It matches the Rfam family "Bacterial small subunit ribosomal RNA", at positions 30 to 416 of the family's 1533-position model. The record is from RNAcentral.
AUUGAACGCUGGCGGCAUGCUUUACACAUGCAAGUCGAACGGUAACAGGGACUUCGGUCUGCUGACGAGUGGCGAACGGGUGAGUAACAUAUCGGAACGUGCCCAGUAAUGGGGGAUAGCUCGGCGAAAGCCGGAUUAAUACCGCAUACGCCCUGAGGGGGAAAGUGGGGGAUCUUCGGACCUCACGUUAUUGGAGCGGCCGAUAUCGGAUUAGCUAGUUGGUGGGGUAAAGGCCUACCAAGGCGACGAUCCGUAGCUGGUCUGAGAGGAUGAUCCGCCACACUGGAACUGAGACACGGUCCAGACUCCUACGGGAGGCAGCAGUGGGGAAUUUUGGACAAUGGGCGCAAGCCUGAUCCAGCCAUGCCGCGUGAGUGAAGAAGGCC